GACGAACGCUGGCGGCGUGCUUAACACAUGCAAGUCGAACGGAAAGGCCCUGCUUUUGUGGGGUGCUCGAGUGGCGAACGCGUGAGUAACACGUGAGUAACCUGCCCUUCACUUUGGGAUAACUUCAGGAAACUGGGGCUAAUACCGUAUAGGAGCUCCUGCUGCAUGGUGGGGGUUGGAAAGUUUCGGCGGUUGGGGAUGGACUCGCGGCUUAUCAGCUUGUUGGUUGGGUAGUGGCUUACCAAGGCUUUGACGGGUAGCCGGCCUGAGAGGGUGACCGGCCACAUUGGGACUGAGAUACGGCCCAGACUCCUACGGGAGGCAGCAGUGGGGAAUAUUGCACAAUGGGAGGAAGCCUGAUGCAGCAACGCCGCGUGCGGGAUGACGGCCUUCGGGUUGUAAACCGCUUUCGCCUGUGACGAAGCGUGAGUGACGGUAAUGGGUAAAGAAGCACCGGCUAACUACGUG
Molecule: ribosomal RNA, 468 nt
Filed under: uncultured bacterium
Lineage: Bacteria
Description: partial 16S ribosomal RNA
Rfam family: Bacterial small subunit ribosomal RNA
Source: RNAcentral